CCUACGGGGGACAGCAGUGAGGAAUAUUGGUCAAUGGACGAGAGUCUGAACCAGCCAAGUAGCGUGAAGGAUGACUGCCCUAUGGGUUGUAAACUUCUUUUAUAUGGGAAUAAAAUGUUCCACGUGUGGGAUUUUGUAUGUACCAUAUGAAUAAGGAUCGGCUAACUCCGUGCCAGCAGCCGCGGUAAUACGGAGGAUCCGAGCGUUAUCCGGAUUUAUUGGGUUUAAAGGGAGCGUAGGUGGAUUGUUAAGUCAGUUGUGAAAGUUUGCGGCUCAACCGUAAAAUUGCAGUUGAAACUGGCAGUCUUGAGUACAGUAGAGGUAGGCGGAAUUCGUGGUGUAGCGGUGAAAUGCUUAGAUAUCACGAAGAACUCCGAUUGCGAAGGCAGUUCACUGGACUGCAACUGACACUGAGGCUCGAAAGUGUGGGUAUCAAACAGGAUUAGAUACCCGUGUAGUC
RNAcentral lists this ribosomal RNA (460 nucleotides) under uncultured bacterium. RNAcentral's name for it is "partial 16S ribosomal RNA". It matches the Rfam family "Bacterial small subunit ribosomal RNA", at positions 338 to 795 of the family's 1533-position model. The record is from RNAcentral.